GCGGGCGUAGCUCAACUGGAAGAGCUCCAGCCUUCCAAGCUGGUUGUUGCCGGUUCGAAUCCGGUCGCCCGCU
RNAcentral lists this transfer RNA (73 nucleotides) under Phycisphaerae bacterium. RNAcentral describes it as "tRNA-Gly". It matches the Rfam family "tRNA". From Rfam's summary of the family: Transfer RNA (tRNA) molecules are approximately 80 nucleotides in length. Their secondary structure includes four short double-helical elements and three loops (D, anti-codon, and T loops). The record is from RNAcentral. Lineage: Bacteria; Pseudomonadati; Planctomycetota; Phycisphaerae.